Long non-coding RNA from Acinonyx jubatus (cheetah), 1474 nucleotides. RefSeq lists it as uncharacterized. The transcript is spliced from 3 exons. Lineage: Eukaryota; Metazoa; Chordata; Mammalia; Carnivora; Felidae. The record is from RefSeq and is a predicted model, not a curated record.
CCCAUCGCUUUGGCUUAUAUAGUGUGACUUCCUUCUCUGCCUAUUGAUUCAGGGUCAUGAAGAUCUCGAAAUGGUCAAGGGGCUGUUUCAACUUCCAAUUCCUAAGAUGAAUUACUGCAUUCUCUGGUGGAGCUGUUCCUCUCCUAGACACAGGGAGCUCCAAACUGCCAAGUUCAAGAUCGGGCACAGGUGGCAGCAAACACUCUUCCAGCGAGAGGCCACUCCUCUUCAUUUUUUGGUUCCCAACCUGCUCAUUCUGUCUACAGGAAGACCACACACUUGGCCAUUAGUAUAAAGCGUAUAUUGCAUCCUGGCCAGGAGCAAGUCAUUAACUGCUUCUUAAAUGGAUAGAAGUUGUUCACAGAAAAGAAUAUGAGUUCACUCUGCCACCACCACCUGCUGCCAUGAGCCCAAAGAAGAGGGAGGAGAGAGUUUUCUGGAGCCCAGAAGACAGCUAGCCGCCUCGAAAGGUGAAAGGGCACAGCCAGACUGCAGCAUCCUACAGGGAGGAAUCUAGAGGGUAAGAGACCCUGCUGACGUUGUGCAUACAGGCCAGCCCCCUGCAGCCCAAAGAGGUGGAUGGGAGUAAAGACUUGACCUGGGUGGGCAGAUGAAAGACACCGAUGCAGCCACUUUUCCCCAAAGGGAGUCAGGAGCAGACAGCUUUAGUCCUUCCAGGCCUUGAAGAAGGAGAGGUUUGCCCAGGAGCAGAUCACAGGGGGCACCUCGGGAGAAAGGAGCAACACAAGCAGAUGUGCAGAGACCAGAGUGCGGCAGGUACAUCCAGAUGUUGGCUGCGUGCCUAGAAAGGAGGUCAGGGUCAACACACACCGCUCAUGUGCUGGCCUGGGCCCAAAUCUCCACUCAUCUGGAAGACGCUAUUUCUGGAGUCUGUCCAUCUUUCUGGCUUGGGACCUCCCACACUGGGCAUCCAGAGACCUCAGGAAACACUGCUCACUGUGGCCCACACAGUGAGGGCCCCACACAUUCUACCCCGCUGUCUGCCAGGAUCCACAGCCUUCCGGCCCUGCUGUCACCAGGGCUCAUCUGACCAACUCUGUCUUUAACUAAUUUGUCCUUAGUGCCCAGCCCUGCGAUCAGAAAUGGCCUCCAUGCCUGAUGGGGCCGUGGUCUGAUGUCCGCUUCCAGAGAGAAAGUCCCGUGGCAAUAACAGCCCUGAUAGAAGAAAGUGCAAGGUGCACACAGAGCUUAGAAGAGGGGACCAACUGCGUGGGCAGAGGCAAGGAGGGCUCCAGGAGGAGGUGUCACCGGCCAGGUCUUGGGUGUCCACAGCAGUCCUGCAGGAGGGUAGGAGAGGAAGGCAUUGGAAGCAGUGGGACCAGCAUAGACAAGUGUCUGGAGACGUGGGAGCGUGAGAACAGCAGACUUCCUGUGGCUGGGGGACACAGCAGGGGAUGAGGCUGGAGGGACAGAAUGAAAAAGGGUCUCAAAUACCAGGUUCAGUAAUUUAAAU